GAACGCACAUUGCGCCCCCUGGUAUUCCGGGGGGCACACCUGUUCGAGCGCCAUUACAACCCUCAAGCCUUGCUUGGUGAUGGGCCCCGCCCGUGUGGCGGGCCCGAAACUCGUGGGCGCCCCCAGCCGGACUCCAAGCGUAGCAAAACCCUCGCUUGUGGACGACCGGUCGGAGGCCGCCCCGGACCCCAAAUUUUUAUCAAUGGUUGGCCUCGGAUCAGGUGGGGAUACCCGCUGAACUUAAG
Molecule: unclassified non-coding RNA, 245 nt
Filed under: uncultured Ascomycota
Lineage: Eukaryota; Fungi; Ascomycota
Description: sequence contains 5.8S rRNA gene
Source: RNAcentral